GACGUCCGUGGGGCACCGAUGCCUGGGAUUACUGCACGGGGUCGCGCCGUGGCGGAGCAGCCUCCAUCCCUGUGAGAUCACUGCCCUGAGCCAAUCCCUACAGCCCUUACGGAAGCUGCCUUUUAGAGCCUUUCGCACAGAUGCCAGAAAAAUCCACACUGCCCCUGCCCGAACCAUGUUCCUGCUGCGUCCCCUGCCCAUUCUGUUGGCGACAGGCGGCGGGUAUGCAGGGUACCGGCAGUAUGAGAAAUACAGGGAGCGAGAGCUGGAGAAGCUGGGAUUGGAGAUUCCACCCAAACUUGCUGGUCACUGGGAGGUGGCUUUGUACAAGUCAGUGCCAACGCGCUUGCUGUCACGGGCCUGGGGUCGCCUCAAUCAGGUGGAGCUGCCACACUGGCUGCGCAGGCCCGUCUACAGCCUGUACAUCUGGACGUUUGGGGUGAACAUGAAAGAGGCCGCUGUGGAGGACCUGCAUCACUACCGCAACCUCAGCGAGUUCUUCCGGCGCAAGCUGAAGCCGCAGGCCCGGCCUGUCUGUGGCCUGCACAGCGUGGUGAGGCCUGACCCUUUCCUCCUGCAGGAAACAGGACUUUUUCCUGCCUCCCCAGCACAGCCCCCCCGGUCUCCAGCGUAUCUGGAAGGGGCAGGAUGACAAGGGGAGGUGGGAGCUGUCUCCUGGGGGGAGGAGACCCUGCUCUCCCUGGCAGCAAGCCUCUCCUGCCCUUCCAGAUUAGCCCAUCGGAUGGAAGGAUCCUCAACUUUGGGCAGGUGAAGAACUGCGAGGUGGAGCAGGUAAAGGGGGUCACCUACUCCCUGGAGUCGUUCCUGGGCCCGCGUACCUGCACAGAGGACCUGCCCUUCCCACCAGGUGGGUCACUGCACAGGCGGGGCCAGGCAGCCCUGCUGCUGUGUGGCUGGACCGGGAGGGAGGGGAAUGCUGGGGAAGGAACUGAGGCUGGCAUGUGGGGCCUCCCUGAGAAUCCAUGUGCAGACCACACUCGGGCUCCGUGCUGGGUGCUCACUGUGUUGGUGGCCCCCACGUCUGCUCCUACUCCACAGCUGCGUCGUGUGACUCCUUCAAGAACCAGCUGGUCACCCGGGAAGGGAAUGAGCUCUAUCACUGUGUCAUCUACCUGGCCCCUGGGGACUACCACUGCUUCCACUCCCCCACCGACUGGACUGUGUCCCACCGGCGCCACUUCCCAGGCUCCCUGAUGUCAGUGAACCCUGGCAUGGCUCGCUGGAUCAAAGAGCUCUUCUGCCAUAACGAGCGGGUAGUCCUGACGGGGGACUGGAAACAUGGCUUCUUCUCACUGACAGCUGUGGGGGCCACCAACGUGGGCUCCAUUCGCAUCUACUUUGACCGGGACCUGCACACAAACAGCCCAAGGCACAGCAAGGGCUCCUACAAUGACUUCAGCUUCGUGACGCACACCAAUAGAGAGGGCGUCCCCAUGCGUAAGGGCGAGCACCUGGGCGAGUUCAACCUGGGCUCCACCAUCGUGCUCAUCUUUGAGGCCCCCAAGGACUUCAAUUUCCAGCUGAAAACAGGACAGAAAAUCCGCUUUGGGGAAGCCCUGGGCUCGCUCUAGAGUCUCUUUCCUGAUUAUGGCUGCUAAGGGAUCUUUUCCAAACAGAGUGAGGGUCUUUUCAAGAGGGAGGCCCAUGGGGCCAUCCAGGUGAGGGCCUGCCUCAGCGUGGGUGGGAGUCUGACCAGGUAGGACUUGAAUGAUUCGGCUCCACCUGUUCCAGAGGUGCA
RNAcentral lists this small RNA (1759 nucleotides) under Pan troglodytes (chimpanzee). RNAcentral describes it as "retained intron". The record is from RNAcentral. Lineage: Eukaryota; Metazoa; Chordata; Mammalia; Primates; Hominidae.